CAGCAGCCGCGGGAAUACGAAGGGGGCUAGCGUUGUUCGGAAUUACUGGGCGUAAAGGGCGCGUAGGCGGCCAUUCAAGUUAGAUGUGAAAGCCCUGGGCUCAACCUAGGAAUUGCAUUUGAUACUGUUUGGCUUGAGUUCGGGAGAGGUGAGUGGAAUUCCCAGUGUAGAGGUGAAAUUCGUAGAUAUUGGGAAGAACACCAGUGGCGAAGGCGGCUCACUGGACCGACACUGACGCUGAGGCGCGAAGGCGUGGGGAGCAAACAGGAUUAGAUACCCCCGUAGUCCCUGUCUCUUAUAC
Molecule: ribosomal RNA, 301 nt
Filed under: uncultured bacterium
Lineage: Bacteria
Description: partial 16S ribosomal RNA
Rfam family: Bacterial small subunit ribosomal RNA
Source: RNAcentral